AAGAGCUCAAAUUUGAAAGCUGGUACCUUCGGUGCCCGCGUUGUAAUCUCGAGACGCGUUUUCCGCGCGGCGCUAUGGACAAGUUCCUUGGAACAGGACAUCGUAGAGGGUGAAAAUCCCGUACUUGCCAUGGAUGCACCGUGCUUUGUGAUACGUGCUCAAAGAGUCGAGUUGUUUGGGAUUGCAGCUCAAAAUGGGUGGUAGACUCCAUCUAAAGCUAAAUAUCGGGGAGAGACCGAUAGCGAACAAGUACCGUGAGGGAAAGAUGAAAAGCACUUUGGAAAGAGAGUUAAAAGUACGUGAAAUUGUCGAAAGGGAAGCGCUUGAAGUCAGCCAUGCCGCUCAGGACUCAACCUGGCUUUUGCUUGGUGUACUUCCUGGGUAGCAAGUCAGCAUUGGUUUGGACCGUCGGAGAAGCAUGGCAGGAAUGUGACGCCCUCGGGCGUGUUAUAGCCUGCCAUUGGAUACGCCGGUCUAGACCAAGGAACGCAGUGCGCCUUACGGCGGGUCUUCGGACACCUUC
RNAcentral lists this ribosomal RNA (523 nucleotides) under Malassezia japonica. RNAcentral's name for it is "partial large subunit ribosomal RNA". It matches the Rfam family "Eukaryotic large subunit ribosomal RNA", at positions 103 to 612 of the family's 3401-position model. The record is from RNAcentral. Lineage: Eukaryota; Fungi; Basidiomycota; Malasseziomycetes; Malasseziales; Malasseziaceae.